GCCCGAGUGGUGGAAUGGCAGACACAACAGACUUAAAAUCUGUCGGGGGAAACCCCUUACGGGUUCGAAUCCCGUCUCGGGUACCA
Molecule: transfer RNA, 86 nt
Filed under: Lentisphaerae bacterium ADurb.Bin082
Lineage: Bacteria; Pseudomonadati; Lentisphaerota
Also listed under: 1 other name
Description: tRNA-Leu
Rfam family: tRNA
About the family: Transfer RNA (tRNA) molecules are approximately 80 nucleotides in length. Their secondary structure includes four short double-helical elements and three loops (D, anti-codon, and T loops).
Source: RNAcentral